ACUAUUAUCUUUUCUGAAAAAAACUCGUUCAAACACAGUUUUUAAUUUAGACUUUGUUUGGGAUUGCGGGGAGAUUGCGUUCCUGUUUGUUUCCGUACGUAAUAUUGCGUUCCGCAUAUUGUGGUUAGUCAGUUACGAUAUAUUUUCUACGGUCCCAUCGGAGAAUGCAGAAGCAUAUCUCUAUAUACUUUUUCUCAACGCCAUUCUAUCUAAUAGCGUUAGAUCGACCUCAAUUCCAAACUAAGCCUUAGGCUUCGUUUGGGACUGCGGGGAGAUUGCGUUACGUGCGGUGAGAAACUACAAUGGGAAAAUAUUCUGUUUGUUUUGCGUUCCGCAUAUUGCGAUGAGUCGGUUAUAAUAUAUUUUCUGCAGUCCCACCGGAGAACGUAGAAGUAUAUCCCUAUAUAUUUUUUUUCUAACUCUAAUUUAUCUAACAGCGUCGGAUAGAUCUCAAUACCAAAUUAAGCCUUAGUUGCUAAUUGACCGGUUCUAUUUGCUAAA
Molecule: long non-coding RNA, 501 nt
Filed under: Ananas comosus (pineapple)
Lineage: Eukaryota; Viridiplantae; Streptophyta; Magnoliopsida; Poales; Bromeliaceae
Description: long non-coding RNA (ACOM_LNC020220)
Source: RNAcentral